Molecule: non-coding RNA, 183 nt
Filed under: human gut metagenome
Source: RNAcentral
AGAACUGGUAAUUCGAUGGGUGAAAUGAAGAAGUAACGCUCGGAAGCGCCCACCUUAAUCUCCGAUUGGCAGAGAAAUCUGUCAAAAGCUCGGUGAAGUCGGCAGAGAGUAGCCGUAUUGCAGAAAUGCAACGAAAGCGGUUCAGCGGUGAAUUGUGCUACCUAUAUGCCGGAGGUCUAUAAA